This 492-nucleotide ribosomal RNA is filed under the name uncultured bacterium. Its description in RNAcentral is "partial 16S ribosomal RNA". It matches the Rfam family "Bacterial small subunit ribosomal RNA", at positions 29 to 507 of the family's 1533-position model. The record is from RNAcentral.
AGUGAACGCUGGCGGUAGGCCUAACACAUGCAAGUCGAACGGCAGCACAGUAAGAGCUUGCUCUUACGGGUGGCGAGUGGCGGACGGGUGAGGAAUACAUCGGAAUCUACUUUUUCGUGGGGGAUAACGUAGGGAAACUUACGCUAAUACCGCAUACGACCUACGGGUGAAAGCAGGGGAUCUUCGGGCCUUGCGCGAUUGAAUGAGCCGAUGUCGGAUUAGCUAGUUGGCGGGGUAAAGGCCCACCAAGGCGCCGAUCCGUAGCUGGUCUGAGAGGAUGAUCAGCCACACUGGAACUGAGACACGGUCCAGACUCCUACGGGAGGCAGCAGUGGGGAAUAUUGGACAAUGGGCGCAAGCCUGAUCCAGCCAUACCGCGUGGGUGAAGAAGGCCUUCGGGUUGUAAAGCCCUUUUGUUGGGAAAGAAAAGCAGCAGGUUAAUACCCCGCUGUUCUGACGGUACCCAAAGAAUAAGCACCGGCUAACUUCGUG